GCCCAGACCACCAGCUAAGGUCCCAAAAUAUAUGUUAAGUGGAAAAGGAUGUGGCGUUGCCCAGACAACUAGGAUGUUGGCUUAGAAGCAGCCAUCAUUUAAAGAGUGCGUAAUAGCUCACUAGUCGAGUGACACUGCGCCGAAAAUGUACCGGGGCUAAACAUAUUACCGAAGCUGUGGAUUGUCCUUUGGACAAUGGUAGGAGAGCGUUCUAAGGGCGUUGAAGCAUGAUCGUAAGGACAUGUGGAGCGCUUAGAAGUGAGAAUGCCGGUGUGAGUAGCGAAAGACGGGUGAGAAUCCCGUCCACCGAUUGACUAAGGUUUCCAGAGGAAGGCUCGUCCGCUCUGGGUUAGUCGGGUCCUAAGCUGAGGCCGACAGGCGUAGGCGAUGGAUAACAGGUUGAUAUUCCUGUACCACCUAUAAUCGUUUUAAUCGAUGGGGGGACGCAGUAGGAUAGGCGAAGCGUGCGAUUGGAUUGCACGUCUAAGCAGUAAGGCUGAGUAUUAGGCAAAUCCGGUACUCGUUAAGGCUGAGCUGUGAUGGGGAGAAGACAUUGUGUCUUCGAGUCGUUGAUUUCACACUGCCGAGAAAAGCCUCUAGAUAGAAAAUAGGUGCCCGUACCGCAAACCGACACAGGUAGUCAAGAUGAGAAUUCUAAGGUGAGCGAGCGAACUCUCGUUAAGGAACUCGGCAAAAUGACCCCGUAACUUCGGGAGAAGGGGUGCUCUUUAGGGUUAACGCCCAGAAGAGCCGCAGUGAAUAGGCCCAAGCGACUGUUUAUCAAAAACACAGGUCUCUGCUAAACCGUAAGGUGAUGUAUAG
RNAcentral lists this ribosomal RNA (822 nucleotides) under Staphylococcus aureus. Its description in RNAcentral is "partial 23S ribosomal RNA". It matches the Rfam family "Bacterial large subunit ribosomal RNA", at positions 1025 to 1848 of the family's 2925-position model. The record is from RNAcentral. Lineage: Bacteria; Bacillati; Bacillota; Bacilli; Caryophanales; Staphylococcaceae.